This 347-nucleotide ribosomal RNA is filed under the name uncultured Pseudomonas sp. RNAcentral's name for it is "bacterial SSU rRNA". It matches the Rfam family "Bacterial small subunit ribosomal RNA", at positions 1032 to 1382 of the family's 1533-position model. Lineage: Bacteria; Pseudomonadati; Pseudomonadota; Gammaproteobacteria; Pseudomonadales; Pseudomonadaceae. The record is from RNAcentral.
AGACAGGUGCUGCAUGGCUGCGUCAGCUCGUGUCGUGAGAUGUUGGGUUAAGUCCGUAACGAGCGCAACCCUUGUCCUUAGUUACCAGCACGUUAUGGUGGGCACUCUAAGGAGACUGCCGGUGACAACCGGAGGAAGUGGGGAUGACGUCAAGUCAUCAUGGCCCUUACGGCCUGGGCUACACACGUGCUACAAUGGUCGGUACAAAGGGUUGCCAAGCCGCGAGGUGGAGCUAAUCCCAUAAAACCGAUCGUAGUCCGGAUCGCAGUCUGCAACUCGACUGCGUGAAGUCGGAAUCGCUAGUAAUCGUGAAUCAGAAUGUCACGGUGAAUACGUUCCCGGGCCUU